UAUCUCUCCGUACGGGGAAGGAUGGGAAGCUUCGACUAAGGUUCGAUUCGAGCGCAGCGAGAAAGCGUUGCCGCAGGCAACGACCCGAAGGGCGAAGCGCGCAGCGCUGAGUCAUCCUUCCCCCACCACCA
Molecule: small RNA, 131 nt
Filed under: Salmonella enterica subsp. enterica
Lineage: Bacteria; Pseudomonadati; Pseudomonadota; Gammaproteobacteria; Enterobacterales; Enterobacteriaceae
Also listed under: 1 other name
Description: RtT sRNA
Rfam family: RtT RNA
About the family: This family represents a bacterial cis-regulatory element known as RtT RNA. The exact function of RtT is unknown although it is thought that it may be involved in changing the cellular response in relation to amino acid starvation.
Source: RNAcentral